This is a non-coding RNA of Acanthosepion pharaonis, 93 nucleotides long. NCBI's taxonomy places the organism in Eukaryota, Metazoa, Mollusca, Cephalopoda, Sepiida, Sepiidae. The record is from the annotation of a GenBank genome assembly.
AUUGAAACAGCGGUUCCCAUACCGAAGUUAAGCCACGUCGAACCUGGUCAGUACCUAGAUGGGUGACCGCUUGGGAAUACUAGGCGCUGUAAG